AUAUAUGAUAUUUUGAUAUAAAUUUAAUGAAUGAUUGAUCACACAAAUUGACAUAAGGUUGUCCUGCUGUAAAGUUUAUCCCUUACAGUGAAAAGGUUAUCCUAGUUUGUACUGAUCAUUGAUAAAAUUUGAUUUUAUAUAUUGUAUGUGAUGUUUAUGAUCUGAUUUAGAUAUGAUCUAAAGUUAUAACUAGAUCUGAUAUAAUUUAGAUUAGAUCUAAAUUCAUACAUAUGUGAU
This 237-nucleotide long non-coding RNA is filed under the name Elaeis guineensis (African oil palm). Its description in RNAcentral is "long non-coding RNA (EGUI_LNC014294)". The record is from RNAcentral. Lineage: Eukaryota; Viridiplantae; Streptophyta; Magnoliopsida; Arecales; Arecaceae.